RNAcentral lists this ribosomal RNA (305 nucleotides) under uncultured bacterium. RNAcentral's name for it is "bacterial SSU rRNA". It matches the Rfam family "Bacterial small subunit ribosomal RNA", at positions 333 to 655 of the family's 1533-position model. The record is from RNAcentral.
AAGUCCCUACGGGGCGCAGCAGUGGGGAAUAUUGCACAACGGGGGGAACCCUGAUGCAGCGACGCCGCGUGAGUGAAGAAGUAUUUCGGUAUGUAAAGCUCUAUCAGCAGGGAAGAAAAUGACGGUACCUGACUAAGAAGCCCCGGCUAACUACGUGCCAGCAGCCGCGGUAAUACGUAGGGGGCAAGCGUUAUCCGGAUUUACUGGGUGUAAAGGGGGCGCAGACGGCGAUGCAAGCCAGGAGUGAAAGCCCGGGGCCCAACCCCAGGACUGCUCUUGGAACUGCGUGGCUGGAGUGCAGGAGG